RNAcentral lists this ribosomal RNA (696 nucleotides) under Homophyllia bowerbanki. RNAcentral's name for it is "partial 12S ribosomal RNA". It matches the Rfam family "Bacterial small subunit ribosomal RNA", at positions 320 to 1422 of the family's 1533-position model. Lineage: Eukaryota; Metazoa; Cnidaria; Anthozoa; Scleractinia; Lobophylliidae. The record is from RNAcentral.
UGAAACAAGGGAAAACAUUGGCAGCAGUAAAGAAUUUUAUGCAAUAUACGAAAGUAAGACAUAGGCAGAACCUUUGAACCUGUCAAAUUAAGUGCCAGCAGACGCGGUGAAACUUAAGGGUUUGUUUUUUAGAAAAAGCAGAAAGCGUGUAAAGGUAAAACAUUUAAAAUAAAUAGAAUUUUUUUAGUAAUGGUGGAAUAUUAAAAGAAAAAAAAGAAUUUUUUAUGUGAAGACAAUUUAUUUUUUUUCUUUAACACGAAGGUUCUGGGAGCGAACAGGAUUAGGAACCCUGGUAGUCGAUACAGUAAAAGAAAGUCGCUUGAGUAGUACGGUCGCAAGAUUAAAAUUCAAAAAACUUGGCUGUUCAUUGUUAUUUAGAGGAGCGUGUUGCUUAAUUCGAUAAUCCGCGAGUUACCUUACCAAAACUAGCUUUUACAGGUGUUGCAUGGCCGUCGUCAAUUUAUGUUUGAUACAAUCGAUUAAACCCUAGAAAGGUUGAAGUCAGGUAUUAUUGCCCUUAUGUUUUGGGGUUAAAUGCGCUACAUUUUUUUUUUAAUAAAAAAAAAGAGUUCGGAUUGUCUUUAAAAAAGGAUGAUUAAGUUGGAUUUAAUAGUAAUUGAAAAGUAGAGCGUUUCAAUGAAUUUGCCGCAAUGUUAGUACAAAUAGCCCGUCGCCUCUACGGAGGUAAACAAAGUA